AAGCAGAAGAGAGGAGCAAGGAGAGAGGGAGGGAGGGAGCGAGGGAGGAGUAGGAGGCGAGCGAGCGAGACGAGGGCACCUGAGAGGAGAAGGGACGCGAGGCGCAGGGGCUGGAGGGACAGCCAAGGGCGGAGGCCAAGACCGUGGGGGGGGGGGAGAAGGACUGGGGGCUAAAUAUGGGGUGCAGCAGACAUGUAAACCUGAAGUAGAGAGAGGGAGAGAGUGUGUGUGGGUGAAUAUGGACUAUAACAGAUGAGAAGAGGGAUUGGGGGCUAAAUAUGGGGUGCAGCAGAGAUGGGAGCCUGAAGCAGAGGGAGAGAGAUUGUGGGGUGAAUAUGGAAUAUAACAGAUGGGAAGGAGGGUUGGGGGCUAAAUAUGGGGUGCAGCAGAUCUGUAAGCCUGAAGUAGAGGAGGGGAAAGAGAGAGAGAGUGGGGUGAGUGUGGAAUAUUACAGAUAGGGAGAGGGAUUGGGGGCUAAAUAUGGGGUGCGGCAGACAGGGGAGCCUGAAGAGGCGGGAGGGGGGUGGAGGUGGUGGGGUAAAUAUAGGGUGUUGUCGAAGGCUUUCAUGGCCGGAAUUACUGGGCUGCUGUGAGUUUUCUGGGCUGUGCGGCCAUGUUCCAGAAGCAUGCUCUCCUGACGUUUCGUCUGCCUCUAUGGCAGGCAUUCUCAGAGGUUGAGAGGUAUAUUGGAAACUAAGUAAGAGAGGUUUAUAUAUGUAUGGAAGGUCCAAGGUGGGAGAAAGAACUCUUCUCUGCUUGAGGCAAGUGUGGAUGUUGCAAUUGAACACCUUGAUUAAUUGGAGGCUUUUAAGCAGAGGCUGGAUGGCCCUCUGUCGGGGGUGCUUUGAAUGCCAUUUUUAUGCUUCUUAGCAGGGGCUUGGACUGGAUGGCCCAUGAGGUCUCUUCCAGUUCUAGGAUUCUAUGAUUAGCAUUGAAAAGGCUUGCAGCUUCAAGUCCUGGCAGAUUUCUGCCUGGAGAAAUAAUUGGUUGAGCAGAAUUAUCUGGCCCUGAUUAUUUCAUGUCUGGAAUUCCCCUGUUUUCUUUAAUCAGGACAGUAAAUAAAAAACAAUACUCUGAAACCGGGGAAUUCCAGACAUGAAACAAUCAGGGCCAGCGAACACCUGCCAACAAAGGAUUCCCCCAGGCAGGAAUUACCCAGGCCUUGAAGCUUCAUGGCUUUUCAGUGGUAACCAAGAUGAUUAAUUGCAACAUUCACACUUGUUUCGAACAGACAAGAGUUCUUUCUCCCAUCUUGGAACUUCCAAAAAACCUCACAACCUCUGCGGAUGCCUGCCCUAGAUGUGGGAGAAGCGUCAGGAGAUAAUGCUUCUGGAACAUGGCCAUACAGCCUGGAAAACUCACAGCAACCCACUGAAAUAUAGGGAAGCAUGACGUGGAUGGAAGAAGAUGGGGAGAAGGGUUGGGGGCUAAGUGGAGAAUAUACCAGAUAGAGGAGCCUGAAAAAGGCGGCAGAGGGGGGGGGGCAUGGGAGAAGCACGGGGUGUACGACACACGAAGCAAAGAGCGAGGGAGGGGAAGAGAAGAGCCGGGGUUGGGUGAGGUGCUUGCAGGCACGGAGAGCGGCGUCUCAGGGCGGGAAAAGGGGGUCAGAAGAAAAAGAAUAGUGGGGAAGGGAGGUCUCCUCGGCUUCUCGGCCGCCUGAGGGUUUCUCAUGGAGACGGGAUGAAGAGGAGAUCCUACCCACCCCCACACACCUCCUAGCCGCCCUUUGAAAUGAAAAGGAAAGCCGGGGUUGCUUUGCAUUCUGGGGGGACCCUCAGCCGGAAUGGCUGUGCGAGGCGCGGUGAUGAUGUCACCUCGCUUGGGAUGAAGGCGGGCGGGGGAUUUCUCCUCGCUUCCCCCAAAAGACGGCCCUGGGGUGGGAGAGACGCCUGCCUCUGCCUGCCUGGGCCAGCCAUGGCUUCUCGCCCUCUUUGGGCCCCUUUGUUUUGCUCUGUUGUGCCUCGCUCCCCAGUUCAGCCCCGUGGAGACAGGUGGAGACUGAGGUGCGGGUCCCUUUUCGCCGCCCAACGAGGUUUCCCUCCCUUCCCUGAGGAGACGUCCUCAUUUGGCAUUAAUUGACAAUAGACAAAGCACGGAGUGAAUGGAUGAAUGAGAGGCAAAACAACAACAAACACCUUGAAUGACGGGUGGCGGACAUGUCUCUGGCAUUUCCAUUUAUUUUUACUACCACCACAGUACCCGCCAAACAACGCUAUGAGCACAAAAGGCAUUCGAUUGCAAUUCUGUCAAAAACUGUCUCUUUUCUCUCUCACACAGACACAAACCCACUCCUGCUGCCUCGUCACACCAGAGCAUGGAUCCACUUUAAAUCCGCUUUCUGCCUCCUGCAGAAUUCUGGGGUUUGUAGUUUGGUGAGGCCCAGGACCUGUCUUGCUGAGCUGUUUAAAGGCCUCUCCCUAAAGUGGAUUUAAGUGCAUCCAAUGUCUAGUGUGAUGCCCUCCUUUCUAUUCAGAAGCAUGUAAUUUAGGUCAAGAGGGGAACCAUUUUGUUACUGCUCUUGUUAAACAUUUCAGGACUCAGAAAUUAUUGGGGACUGGAUGCAAAUCACCCAAAAUUCUCCCAGGGACUAAGGCUCUAUGGUACUUCCAGUCUGGCUCCCAUUUUCAGUCCUGUGACCAUAGUGGGCAGCUGUAAGGGCAGAAGGUGGCUUUUAAGAGAAAGAAACAAGGAGAGACACCCAGGGAUGGUGGUUCCCACAAAGGUAGUCCAGAAAGUGAUAGCAAUUCCAAAGCUUCCACUCCCAUGUUACAAGACAGUACAAAGUGAAGCAAGGCAACAACAUACACUUGCCAGGAAGCCUAAAGAAGCAGAAGAAACCGGGUUGCUGUGAACUUUCCAGGCUCUAUGGCCAUGUUCCAGAAGCAUUCUCUCCUAACGUCUGGCCCACAUCUAUGGCAGGCAUCCUCCGAGGUUGUGAGGGCUCUUGUGGUGCAGAAGGACACUCUGGCAAAGUGUUGUGGAUAGUUUGGUUAUCAAAAGUGAGAAGAUGCUGGUUGAAGGGCCAGUAUUAGAGCUGGAGCCCAGGAGUACCCUGCAGCUCCCUCAGCCAAGCUUAAAAGAAGAGGCUAUGGAAGUAGCUACCACUUCUCAGCCUGUAAAGCAAGUACAAGCAAUGAAAAUGAGUUUGACACCUCCUGUCCAAGCAGAUUGUUAAUCUGAGCCAGGACACUUCCCUCCCUGGCACCUUGAUGUUCUCCACGACAGUACAGGAGUCAGCAUAGCACUCAGGUGGCAACACACGAAAAAGAAAAACAAGAAUGUGUUAUUGCCAUGGCACCUGCCAUUUCUAACAUAGAUUCACUGUCCUGGAAAACUACAUAUGCCAUCUUGGCAUAUGGGAUGCUGUCGUAAUAGUAUUUAAUACAGUGGGGAGGAGUUUUCACACAAAGGUAUCCAAAGAAAUGUGUCUGUCUGUGCCACCACUAUUUCUGUUGCCAAAUAUAUUUAAAAGAAGAGACCUAUGUUGCCCUCCAUAUGAAGUUAUACUGUAACUCCCAGCAUUCAUCACCAUUUACAUUGAUGGCUAGGACAGAUCAGAGUCCACUAGUGUGUGCAAGGCUGCACUUAGCCCACAUCCAAUUCUGCUGUUUGCAGCAGAAUACAGGGAUAUUAAGGGGGAUGGGAAGGCAGAGGCACACAGUUUCAUUAUACAGGUUGAGCAUCUUUUAUCUGGAAUUCUGAAAUCCAAAAUACUCCAAAUCCAGAAUUGUCUACAUGGGUAGCAGGGAAUGUAAUACCUUUGCUUUCUGAAGAUUCAGUGUACACAGCCUUUGUUUCAUGCACAAAAUUAUUAAAAUAUAUAAACUUACCUUUAGGCUAUUUGUACAAGAAAUAUAUCAGAAACUAAUUUAAUGUUUAAACUUGGGUCCCAUCUCCAAGAUAUCUCCUCUUUAUGUACUAUAUGUAUUCCAAAAUCAAAACAUUUCUGGUCCUAAACAUUAUGGAUAAGGGAUACCUGACUUGAUUUCAAAGAGAAAGCGGGAUCAUAACUCAGGGCCUGUAAUAUCACUGUUAGUGAGGCUCCUGUCUCUUUGCAUUGGUUCCUGCAAUUGACUCAUGCCACAGUUGCCUCACAUCUGGAUCAAAAACCCUCCUUUUUCUGGGUUCCUAGACAUCAGGUUUGUUUGUUUUGGAAUGCAUGUUUUGAAUUUCCAAGUAUAUCUCUGUCAUUGCUAAUGCUAUGAAUUAUAACUCCCACGGAGCUAUCUAAUAAGUUGCAAGUGUGUAACACUAUCAGCAUGAAUAUAGCAACAUUAUAUAAUAUUGAACUCCUUAUUAGAUCAUUAAAAUCUGUUGACAUUGCUUUAAUGAAAUGUGAAUAAAGUCAUGAAUGUGG
Long non-coding RNA from Anolis carolinensis (green anole), 4360 nucleotides. RefSeq lists it as uncharacterized. The record is from RefSeq and is a predicted model, not a curated record. The transcript is spliced from 3 exons. Lineage: Eukaryota; Metazoa; Chordata; Lepidosauria; Squamata; Anolidae.